Molecule: ribosomal RNA, 1242 nt
Filed under: metagenome
Description: bacterial SSU rRNA
Rfam family: Bacterial small subunit ribosomal RNA
Source: RNAcentral
ACCAAGGCGACGACGGGUAGCCGGCCUGAGAGGGCGACCGGCCACACUGGGACUGAGACACGGCCCAGACUCCUACGGGAGGCAGCAGUGGGGAAUAUUGCACAAUGGGCGAAAGCCUGAUGCAGCGACGCCGCGUGAGGGAUGACGGCCUUCGGGUUGUAAACCUCUUUCAGCAGGGAAGAAGCGAAAGUGACGGUACCUGCAGAAGAAGCACCGGCUAACUACGUGCCAGCAGCCGCGGUAAUACGUAGGGUGCGAGCGUUGUCCGGAAUUAUUGGGCGUAAAGAGCUUGUAGGCGGUUUGUCGCGUCUGCAGUGAAAAUCCGAGGCUCAACCUCGGACUUGCUGUGGGUACGGGCAGACUAGAGUAUGGUAGGGGAGACCGGAAUUCCUGGUGUAGCGGUGGAAUGCGCAGAUAUCAGGAGGAACACCGAUGGCGAAGGCAGGUCUCUGGGCCAUAACUGACGCUGAGAAGCGAAAGCAUGGGGAGCGAACAGGAUUAGAUACCCUGGCAGUCCAUGCCGUAAACGUUGGGCGCUAGGUGUGGGGCUCAUUCCACGAGCUCCGUGCCGCAGCUAACGCAUUAAGCGCCCCGCCUGGGGAGUACGGCCGCAAGGCUAAAACUCAAAGGAAUUGACGGGGGCCCGCACAAGCGGCGGAGCAUGCGGAUUAAUUCGAUGCAACGCGAAGAACCUUACCAAGGCUUGACAUAUACCGGAAACAUCCAGAGAUGGGUGCCCCGCAAGGUCGGUAUACAGGUGGUGCAUGGUUGUCGUCAGCUCGUGUCGUGAGAUGUUGGGUUAAGUCCCGCAACGAGCGCAACCCUCGUUCUAUGUUGCCAGCGCGUAGUGGCGGGGACCCAUAGGAGACUGCCGGGGUCAACUCGGAGGAAGGUGGGGAUGACGUCAAAUCAUCAUGCCCCUUAUGUCUUGGGCUUCACGCAUGCUACAAUGGCCGGUACAAAGGGCUGCGAUACCGCGAGGUGGAGCGAAUCCCAAAAAAACCGGUCUCAGUUCGGAUUGGGGUCUGCAACUCGACCCCAUGAAGUCGGAGUCGCUAGUAAUCGCAGAUCAGCAACGCUGCGGUGAAUACGUUCCCGGGCCUUGUACACACCGCCCGUCAAGUCACGAAAGUCGGUAACACCCGAAGCCGGUGGCCCAACCCUUGUGGAGGGAGCCGUCGAAGGUGGGACUGGCGAUUGGGACUAAGUCGUAACAAGGUAGCCGUACCGGAGGUGCGGCUG